Molecule: ribosomal RNA, 18 nt
Filed under: Aspergillus versicolor
Lineage: Eukaryota; Fungi; Ascomycota; Eurotiomycetes; Eurotiales; Aspergillaceae
Description: partial 28S ribosomal RNA
Source: RNAcentral
GGGGGAGCCUCCGGGAGA